Molecule: long non-coding RNA, 1029 nt
Organism: Capra hircus (goat)
Lineage: Eukaryota; Metazoa; Chordata; Mammalia; Artiodactyla; Bovidae
Exons: 3
Source: RefSeq, a predicted model, not a curated record
UUAAAGAACUGCUAGACUGCUUUUCAGAGCAGUGAAGUGCGUAUGUGCAGCAACCAAGACGUAGGUGCCAGGCUGCAGCCUUUCAUCAGGUCCUACUUUUCAUCCAGACCUUCCCCUUGAAGCUGAUCUCUGCAGCCCAAAGCCUCCAGGGUGGCUGGCUGCCCAGGUGUCCCAGAUGCUGGGGCUUCCAAACAGCUUCUCAUCAGACUCAGAAUUGAAUUCCAGCCUCUCCAGCCCUCCACGGCUCACCUGGACCCCCCAGCCCGGAGCCCCGGGCUCCCCUCUUCCUCUGUGCUCUCGACCUGCUGUUCCCUCUGCCGGACCACCCUUCUCCCAGACCACGGGUGGGAUGCUCUCUGUGCGGCCCCCCGAGAGAUGACACAUCCCCGGGGACCCUGUGCCCGCCAUCAUUGCGUCCCCGAAGCCCCCAGGGAGGCCUGCUUCGUGGACAGGGUCCUGGGUAACACACUGGAGGCUGGUAAGGGACACAGAUUUCAAGCCGGCGGCAUGCUGGGAGGUCUGUACCUGAAGCUGUCUGGAGCAGAGAAAUCAGUGCCUGCCUCGCUUACCUCUCUGGAGAAUUACAAGAAUAAAACGAAGCGGUGAACACGAGAGACAGUCGCUGUUACUAACGGUGAUGUCCUGUGGCCACUCCCCCUUGGAUCUGUUAGGCUAGCACCCCCUCCAGAAGCCUCUGGGACCCCAGCCUGGGUGAGGUGACCCCAGUGGCAGCUGAUGAGUGGUCAGUUGGCGUCUCUGGCUGAGCCGGUGACCGGGGCUGGCGGCUCCCUGCACCCUCGUCCCACACCUGGCGGGCUUCCUAGCGCUACGGCGGACGCAGUCAAUCCAUGGUGGCUGAACGGGUGAGCGCGUGUUGCUACUGAGUCCUUGCAGGGUAUAAUGCAACAAUCUCUUGUUUGCUUUUUAUGCGAGGAAAUGAGAGACUGAGAGGAACAGCAGAACCCAGGAGGCUCGGGCCGCUCCAGGCGUGUUUGCAUGCCAGACUUGCCCGCUGCGGCUGGAAGCGGC